RNAcentral lists this long non-coding RNA (451 nucleotides) under Solanum lycopersicum (tomato). RNAcentral describes it as "long non-coding RNA (SLYC_LNC000848)". Lineage: Eukaryota; Viridiplantae; Streptophyta; Magnoliopsida; Solanales; Solanaceae. The record is from RNAcentral.
GUUGAGUCACAUUCUAUAGCUACCCUCACAAAUUGCCUCAAAAAAAGUUGAAGAAAUAAAAUACAUCAUCACUCCUGGAAGUUGACAUGUCGCGCUUUUUUCGCCUGCAUCCACACAACCAAUAAUGAAAACUUUUUAGACAUUUUCGUUCUCCGAUUAUUAGUAAAGCUUUUUGAGAAAACAAAAAGAUGUCCAACCUCUUCAUUGUUUAGACGACUUUUGAGCUUGGUGAAGGUUCUUAGAAAGUUCCAGUGUUGAUGGCAUCAGCGUUAGCAUCUCCGAGAGCUGCCUCUUUAAGAUAGGUUUCAGCCAACUGGACUCUCUUGACAUUCUCUUGCUCUUGAACAAGCAUGUUACCAUACUCAAGGAGCUUCUCAAGGGUCAUUUUUGGUUGCUCAAAAGUUGGGGGUCCAUCUCUAGAGUUCAAAAGUUUUUCACCAAUGAGUUCAAU